GACGAACGCUGGCGGCGUGCUUAACACAUGCAAGUCGAACGGAAAGGCCCCUUUGGGGGUACUCGAGUGGCGAACGGGUGAGUAACACGUGAGUAACCUGCCCUUGACUUCGGGAUAACUUCUGGAAACUGGGGCUAAUACCGGAUAGGAAUCCUUGCUGCAUGGUGGGGGUUGGAAAGCUUCGGCGGUUUUGGAUGGACUCGCGGCUUAUCAGCUUGUUGGUGGGGUAGUGGCUUACCAAGGCUUUGACGGGUAGCCGGCCUGAGAGGGCGACCGGCCACAUUGGGACUGAGAUACGGCCCAGACUCCUACGGGAGGCAGCAGUGGGGAAUAUUGCACAAUGGGCGGAAGCCUGAUGCAGCAACGCCGCGUGCGGGAUGACGGCCUUCGGGUUGUAAACCGCUUUCAGCAGGGGCGAAGCUUUUGUGACGGUACCUGCAGAAGAAGCACCGGCUAACUACGUG
RNAcentral lists this ribosomal RNA (464 nucleotides) under uncultured bacterium. RNAcentral's name for it is "partial 16S ribosomal RNA". It matches the Rfam family "Bacterial small subunit ribosomal RNA", at positions 28 to 507 of the family's 1533-position model. The record is from RNAcentral.